GAUGAACGCUGACAGAAUGCUUAACACAUGCAAGUCGACUCGAGUCUUCGGACUUGGGUGGCGCACGGGUGAGUAACGCGUAAAGAACUUGCCUCUUAGUCUGGGACAACAUCUGGAAACGGAUGCUAAUACCGGAUAUUAUGGUUUUUUCGCAUGGAGGAAUCAUGAAAGCUAGAUGCGCUAAGAGAGAGCUUUGCGUCCCAUUAGCUGGUUGGUGAGGUAACGGCCCACCAAGGCAAUGAUGGGUAGCCGACCUGAGAGGGUGAUCGGCCACACUGGGACUGAGACACGGCCCAGACUCCUACGGGAGGCAGCAGUAGGGAAUCUUCGGCAAUGGGGGGAACCCUGACCGAGCAACGCCGCGUGAGUGAAGAAGGUUUUCGGAUCGUAAAGCUCUGUUGUUAAGGAAGAACGAGUGUGAGAAUGGAAAGUUCAUGCUGUGACGGUACUUAACCAGAAAGGGACGGCUAACUACGUGCCAGCAGCCGCGGUAAUACGUAGGUCCCGAGCGUUGUCCGGAUUUAUUGGGCGUAAAGCGAGCGCAGGCGGUUAGAAAAGUCUGAAGUGAAAGGCAGUGGCUCAACCAUUGUAGGCUUUGGAAACUGUUUAACUUGAGUGCAGAAGGGGAGAGUGGAAUUCCAUGUGUAGCGGUGAAAUGCGUAGAUAUAUGGAGGAACACCGGUGGCGAAAGCGGCUCUCUGGUCUGUAACUGACGCUGAGGCUCGAAAGCGUGGGGAGCGAACAGG
This 746-nucleotide ribosomal RNA is filed under the name uncultured Streptococcus sp. Its description in RNAcentral is "bacterial SSU rRNA". It matches the Rfam family "Bacterial small subunit ribosomal RNA", at positions 28 to 776 of the family's 1533-position model. The record is from RNAcentral. Lineage: Bacteria; Bacillati; Bacillota; Bacilli; Lactobacillales; Streptococcaceae.